Long non-coding RNA from Passer domesticus (house sparrow), 475 nucleotides. RefSeq lists it as uncharacterized. The record is from RefSeq and is a predicted model, not a curated record. The transcript is spliced from 2 exons. Lineage: Eukaryota; Metazoa; Chordata; Aves; Passeriformes; Passeridae.
CCCUGCAGGUCACAGUGGAUCCUUGGUUCCAUGAGGUCUGGCAGUGCAGCAAUGCUCUCCUGCGUUCUUACUGUCUUUUAUACCUCCUAUUCUCAGACAAUAGGACACCUAGUAGAUGAAGGGGAGUGGAAGUAGAUAUCCACUCGAGGAGUUAUGAUUCAUCUCUAAGAAGGAUUACCACCUCUAACAUCAGAAAGGAAAGGAGGAUAAUCGUGGUGAGUGACUCCCUUCUGAAAGGAACAGAGGGCCCCAUAUGUCAACCGGACCCACCCCACAGAGAAGUCUUCUGCCUCCCUGGGGCCAGUGUACAAGAUAAUACUGAGAGACUGCCUGGGCUGAUUUAGCCCUCUCAUUAUUAGCCACUGCUGAUACUCCAGGCUGGCAGUGCUGAGAUUGAAAAGGAGAAUGUCAGGACAAUUAAAAGAUGAUGCCAGCAGUUAUAUACAGACACAAACGCAAUGGGACCACACCUGAA